GAUGAACGCUGGCGGCGUGCCUAAUACAUGCAAGUCGAGCGAACGGACGAGAAGCUUGCUUCUCUGAUGUUAGCGGCGGACGGGUGAGUAACACGUGGAUAACCUACCUAUAAGACUGGGAUAACUUCGGGAAACCGUAGCUAGUACCGGAUAAUAUUUUGAACCGCAUGGUUCAAAAGUGAAAGACGGUCUUGCUGUCACUUAUAGAUGGAUCCGCGCUGCAUUAGCUAGUUGGUAAGGUAACGGCUUACCAAGGCAACGAUGCAUAGCCGACCUGAGAGGGUGAUCGGCCACACUGGAACUGAGACACGGUCCAGACUCCUACGGGAGGCAGCAGUAGGGAAUCUUCCGCAAAGGGCGAAAGCCUGACGGAGCAACGCCGCGUGAGUGAUGAAGGUCUUCGGAUCGUAAAACUCUGUUAUUAGGGAAGAACAUAUGUGUAAGUAACUGUGCACAUCUUGACGGUACCUAAUCAGAAAGCCACGGCUAACUACGUG
RNAcentral lists this ribosomal RNA (497 nucleotides) under uncultured bacterium. RNAcentral's name for it is "partial 16S ribosomal RNA". It matches the Rfam family "Bacterial small subunit ribosomal RNA", at positions 28 to 507 of the family's 1533-position model. The record is from RNAcentral.